RNAcentral lists this ribosomal RNA (159 nucleotides) under uncultured bacterium. Its description in RNAcentral is "partial 16S ribosomal RNA". It matches the Rfam family "Bacterial small subunit ribosomal RNA", at positions 374 to 525 of the family's 1533-position model. The record is from RNAcentral.
GGRAAACUCYURWUCCAGCAAUGCCGCGUGUGCGAAGAAGGYCUUCGGRUUGUAAAGCACUUUUGUCAGGGAAGAAAUCCUUUGGGCUAAUACCCUAGGGGGAUGACGGUACCUGAAGAAUAAGCACCGGCUAACUACGUGCCAGCAGCCGCGGUAAUA